This 497-nucleotide ribosomal RNA is filed under the name uncultured bacterium. RNAcentral describes it as "partial 16S ribosomal RNA". It matches the Rfam family "Bacterial small subunit ribosomal RNA", at positions 28 to 507 of the family's 1533-position model. The record is from RNAcentral.
GAUGAACGCUGGCGGCGUGCCUAAUACAUGCAAGUCGAGCGAACGGACGAGAAGCUUGCUUCUCUGAUGUUAGCGGCGGACGGGUGGGUAACACGUGGAUAACCUACCUAUAAGACUGGGAUAACUUCGGGAAACCGGAGCUAAUACCGGAUAAUAUUUUGAACCGCAUGGUUCAAAAGUGAAAGACGGUCUUGCUGUCACUUAUAGAUGGACCCGCGCUGCAUUAGCUAGUUGGUAAGGUAACGGCUUACCAAGGCAACGAUGCAUAGCCGACCUGAGAGGGUGAUCGGCCACACUGGGACUGAGACACGGUCCAGACUCCUACGGGAGGCAGCAGUAGGGAAUCUUCCGCAAUGGGCGGAAGCCUGACGGAGCAACGCCGCGUGAGUGAUGAAGGUCUUCGGAUCGUAAAACUCUGUUAUUAGGGAAGAACAGAUGUGUAAGUAACUGUGCACAUCUUGACGGUACCUAAUCAGAAAGCCACGGCUAACUACGUG